GUCUAUAUGAAGUUAUAUGUAGUCUGGCCUGCCCAUUGAAUUUUUAAAAGGCCGCGGUAUUUUGACUGUGCAAAGGUAGCAUAAUAAUUAGUUUUUUAAUUGGAAGCUUGUAUGAAAGGUUGGACAAAGAAGUGACUGUCUUUAAUAUAUUAUUUGAAUUUUACAUUUAAGUGAAAAGGCUUAAAUUACUUUAAGGGACGAUAAGACCCUAUAAAUCUUUACAUUUUUUUUGUCUUUUUUGUUUAGAUGGCCUAAAAAUAAAAUACAAAAUAAUAUGUUAUAUUGGGGUGAUAGAGAUAUAAAAUUUAAACUGUCUUUAAUAACACAAACAAAUAUAAUUGACUUAAAAUAAAGGAUCCUUUAUGGAGAUUAAAAGUUUAAGUUACUUUAGGGAUAACAGCGUAAUUUUUUUUGAGAGUUCAUAUCGAAAAAAAAGUUUGCGACCUCGAUGUUGAAUUAAAAUUUUCCUUAUGGUGUAGAAGCUAUAAAGGAGAGUCUGUUCGACUUUU
This 509-nucleotide ribosomal RNA is filed under the name Galacantha valdiviae. RNAcentral's name for it is "partial large subunit ribosomal RNA". It matches the Rfam family "Bacterial large subunit ribosomal RNA", at positions 1831 to 2589 of the family's 2925-position model. The record is from RNAcentral. Lineage: Eukaryota; Metazoa; Arthropoda; Malacostraca; Decapoda; Munidopsidae.